RNAcentral lists this ribosomal RNA (492 nucleotides) under uncultured bacterium. Its description in RNAcentral is "partial 16S ribosomal RNA". It matches the Rfam family "Bacterial small subunit ribosomal RNA", at positions 29 to 507 of the family's 1533-position model. The record is from RNAcentral.
AGUGAACGCUGGCGGUAGGCCUAACACAUGAAAGUCGAACGGCAGCACAGUAAGAGCUUUCUCUUACGGGUGGCGAGUGGCGGACGUGUGAGGUAUACAUCCGAAUCUACUUUUUCGUGGGGGAUAACGUAGGGAAACUUACGCUAAUACCGCAUACGACCUACGGGUGAAAGCAGGGGAUCUUCGGACCUUGCGCGAUUGCAUGAGCCGAUGUCGGAUUAGCUAGUUGGCGGGGUAAAGGCCCACCAAGGCGACGAUCCGUAGCUGGUCUGAGAGGAUGAUCAGCCACCCUACAAGUGCGGCAAGAUCCUGCCUACUCCGGGAGGCAGCAGUGGGGGAUAUUGGUCGAUGAGCGGAGGGAUGAUCAAGCCAUCACGCCUGGGUGAAGAAGGCCUUCGGGUUGUAAAGCCCUUUUGUUGGGAAAGAAAAGCAGCAGGUUAAUACCCCGCUGUUCUGACGGUACCCAAAGAAUAAGCACCGGCUAACUUCGUG